ACAAAGGGCAGCAAGUUAGCGAGGACAAGCAAAUCCCAUAAACCGUGGCUCAGUUCAGAUCGUAGGCUGCAACUCGCCUACGUGAAGGAGGAAUCGCUAGUAAUCGCAGGUCAGCAUACUGCGGUGAAUACGUUCCCGGGCCUUGUACACACCGCCCGUCACACCAUGGAAGUUGGCCACGCCCGAAGCCGUUACUCCAACCCUUGUGGAGGAGGACGUCGAAGGUGGGGCUGAUGACUGGGGUGAAGUCGUAACAAGGUAUCCGUACCGGAAGGUGCGGAUGGAUCACCUCCUAAC
This 297-nucleotide ribosomal RNA is filed under the name uncultured Synechococcus sp. RNAcentral describes it as "partial 16S ribosomal RNA". It matches the Rfam family "Bacterial small subunit ribosomal RNA", at positions 1239 to 1533 of the family's 1533-position model. Lineage: Bacteria; Bacillati; Cyanobacteriota; Cyanophyceae; Synechococcales; Synechococcaceae. The record is from RNAcentral.